RNAcentral lists this ribosomal RNA (301 nucleotides) under uncultured bacterium. Its description in RNAcentral is "partial 16S ribosomal RNA". It matches the Rfam family "Bacterial small subunit ribosomal RNA", at positions 509 to 807 of the family's 1533-position model. The record is from RNAcentral.
CAGCAGCCACGGUAAUACAGAGGGUGCGAGCGUUAAUCGGAUUUACUGGGCGUAAAGCGUGCGUAGGCGGCUUCUUAAGUCGGAUGUGAAAUCCCUGAGCUUAACUUGGGAAUUGCAUUCGAUACUGGGAAGCUAGAGUAUGGGAGAGGAUGGUAGAAUUCCAGGUGUAGCGGUGAAAUGCGUAGAGAUCUGGAGGAAUACCGAUGGCGAAGGCAGCCAUCUGGCCUAAUACUGACGCUGAGGUACGAAAGCAUGGGGAGCAAACAGGAUUAGAUACCCCAGUAGUCCCUGUCUCUUAUAC